CCUACGGGUGGCAGCAGUGAGGAAUAUUGGUCAAUGGGCGUAACCCUGAACCAGCCAAGCCGCGUGGGGGAUGAAGGUUCUAGGGAUCUUAAACCUCUUUUAUAAGGAAAUAAAGGGUGGGACGUGUCCGGUUUUGUAUGUACCUUAUGAUUAAGGAUGGGCUAACUCCGUGCCAGCGGCGGAGGUAAUACGGAGGAUCCGAGCGUUAUCCGGAUUUAUUGGGUUUAAAGGGUGCGUAGGCGGGCUGUUAAGUCAGCGGUAAAAGCCCGGGGCUCAACCCCGGCGAGCCGUUGAAACUGGCUGUCUUGAGAUGUCGAGAGGUAGGCGGAAUGCGCAGUGUAGCGGUGAAAUGCUGAGAUAUUGCGCAGAACUCCGAUUGCGAAGGCAGCAUACCGGCGGCGAUCUGACGCUGAGGCACGAAAGCGUGGGUAUCGAACAGGAUUAGAUACCCUUGUAGUC
Molecule: ribosomal RNA, 459 nt
Filed under: uncultured bacterium
Lineage: Bacteria
Description: partial 16S ribosomal RNA
Rfam family: Bacterial small subunit ribosomal RNA
Source: RNAcentral